AGCAACUUCUGGUGGAACGUGUUAUGGAACUCUUGGAGCAAUUUAUGGUGAAACGUGUGAUGGAAUUUCUGUUGCACCUCAUUAAGCAAUUCCUGGUGGAACUCCUCGAGAAAUUUCUGGUAGAACAUGUGAGGGAACUCUUUGAGCAAUUUCUGGUGAAACGUGUGAUGCAACUCCUGAAGCAAUUCCUAGUGAAAUUCCUGAAUCAAUUCUUAGCGGAACUCCUGAAGGAAUUCUUGAUGCAAUUCCUAGUGGAUCUCCUGGAGCAAUUUCUGGUGGAACGUGUUAUGGAACUCCUGGUGCAAUUUCUGGUAAAAUGUGUGAUGGAACUCCUGAGACAAUUCCUGGUGAAAUUUUUGAAUCAAUUCUUGGCGGAACUCCUGGGGGAAUUUUUGGUACAAUUCCUGGUGGAUGUCCUGGACGAGGUCCUUGAGCAAUUUCUGGAGAAACGUGUGAUGGAACUCCUGGAGCAUUUCCUGGUGAAACGUGUGAUGGAACUCCUGGAGCAAUUUCUGUUGUAACUCUUGUAGCAAUUCCUGAUGAAAUUCCUGAAUCGAAUCUUGGCGGAACUCCUGAAGGAAUUCUUGGUGCAAUUCCUGGUGGAACUCUUGGAGAAAUGUUUGGUGGAACGCGUGAUGAAAAUCCUGGAGCAAUUUCUGGUGAUACGUGUGAAUAGCGAAUAUUCAACAGAGAACCGGAUGGAGGCCGGCAACUUCGUUGAAGACCACGGACACGCUGGCUGAACGAGGUGGAAUCGGAUCUGGGACUGGAGGAACAUCACCCAAGAAGUCGAUGGUGGAGCUCUACAAUUCGCUAGGCAUAAGUGUAUCGACGCUGUAGCCAACCAGGUGUCUAGAUCAUAUUGUUCGUGCUACCACCAGGUUAUGUAAAAAAAUACCUACACAUACUUCUGGAACGAUUUUCAACUAAUGGUCGACUUGAUAUUAUCAUGGUACUUCAAGUAGGGACAUUUUUUUGUUGGCUGCGCGAGGUGAAACCGGUCCUGGGACUGGAAGAACAUCGUCCAAGAUGACGACGGAGCUCUACAAUACGCUAGGCAUAAGUGUAUCGACACUGUAGCCAACAAGAUAUCCAGAUAGAUCAUUUUGUUCGUGCUAUCAUCAGAUGUGAAAAAUACCAAUACAAACUUCAGCAGCGAGUUUCAUCUUAUGGUCAACUUGAUAUUGCCAUGGUACUUCAAGUAGGGACAUUUCGUACUUCGUACUGCAUAUCAUCAAUAAUAGCUGAAAAAGAAAAUCGAUGGUACUACAAUACUUACGAUGUGUCAAUCAUGUCCAUCGAUGAUGGCAUCUUGGAAGUCAACUCCAUUGGCGGGAAACCCAUCUUGGCGGACGGCGGAUAUCAGGAUCUGUCGAAGAAAAAAC
Armigeres subalbatus is the source of this 1385-nucleotide long non-coding RNA. RefSeq lists it as uncharacterized. Lineage: Eukaryota; Metazoa; Arthropoda; Insecta; Diptera; Culicidae. The record is from RefSeq and is a predicted model, not a curated record. The transcript is spliced from 4 exons.